This 323-nucleotide ribosomal RNA is filed under the name uncultured Actinomycetes bacterium. RNAcentral describes it as "bacterial SSU rRNA". It matches the Rfam family "Bacterial small subunit ribosomal RNA", at positions 28 to 351 of the family's 1533-position model. The record is from RNAcentral. Lineage: Bacteria; Bacillati; Actinomycetota; Actinomycetes.
GACGAACGCUGGCGGCGUGCUUAACACAUGCAAGUCGAACGAUGAACUGGAGCUUGCUCCAGGGAUUAGUGGCGAACGGGUGAGUAACACGUGAGUAACCUGCCCUUGACUCUGGGAUAAGCGCUAGAAAUGGCGUCUAAUACCGGAUACGAGCUUCAGCCGCAUGGCUAGGAGUUGGAAAGAAUUUUGGUCAAGGAUGGACUCGCGGCCUAUCAGCUAGUUGGUGAGGUAAUGGCUCACCAAGGCGACGACGGGUAGCCGGCCUGAGAGGGUGACCGGCCACACUGGGACUGAGACACGGCCCAGACUCCUACGGGUGGCUG